RNAcentral lists this ribosomal RNA (396 nucleotides) under uncultured bacterium. RNAcentral's name for it is "bacterial SSU rRNA". It matches the Rfam family "Bacterial small subunit ribosomal RNA", at positions 358 to 771 of the family's 1533-position model. The record is from RNAcentral.
GGAAUCUUGCACAAUGGGGGAAACCCUGAUGCAGCGACGCCGCGUGAACGAUGAAGCCCUUCGGGGUGUAAAGUUCUUUCGACGGGAACGAUUAUGACGGUACCCGGAGAAGAAGCUGCGGCUAACUACGUGCCAGCAGCCGCGGUAAUACGUAGGCAGCAAGCGUUGUUCGGAAUUAUUGGGCGUAAAGAGUGCGUAGGCGGUUUGCCAAGUCUGGUGUGAAAUCUCCCGGCUUAACUGGGAGGGUGCGCUAGAUACUGGCAGGCUUGAGUGUGGAAGAGGAAAGUGGAAUUCCUGGUGUAGCGGUGAAAUGCGUAGAUAUCAGGAGGAACGCCGGUGGUGUAGACGGCUUUCUGGGCCACAACUGACGCUGAGGCACGAAAGCGUGGGUAGCAA